This 256-nucleotide ribosomal RNA is filed under the name Methanobacteriota archaeon. RNAcentral's name for it is "Euryarchaeota archaeon partial 23S ribosomal RNA". It matches the Rfam family "Archaeal large subunit ribosomal RNA", at positions 2625 to 2878 of the family's 2987-position model. Lineage: Archaea; Methanobacteriati; Methanobacteriota. The record is from RNAcentral.
CAGCAGGACCCAAGGGUGGGGUUGUUCGCCCAUUAAAAGGGAUCGUGAGAUGGGUUUAGACCGUCGUGAGACAGGUUUGUUGCUUGGUGGUAGAAUCGCAUAAGGUGUCUGAUGGAAGGGGCCCUUUAGUACGAGAGGAACGAGGGCUCGGGGCCACUAGUUUACCAGUUGUCUGACAAGGCAAUGCUGGGUAGCCACGCCCUAGAGGAUAAGAGCUGAAAGCAUCUAAGCUCGAAGCCACCCCAAAAACGAGACA